CUGCCCUCAAGCCCGGCUUGUGUGUUGGGCCUUCGUCCCCCUACCCGGGGGGACGGGCCCGAAAGGCAGUGGCGGCACCGCGUCCGGUCCUCGAGUGUAUGGGGCUCUGUCACUCACUCUGUAGGCCCGGCCGGCGCCCGCCGACCCCCCGUCUUCCUUCUUUUUUCA
This 168-nucleotide unclassified non-coding RNA is filed under the name uncultured Penicillium. RNAcentral's name for it is "sequence contains ITS2". The record is from RNAcentral. Lineage: Eukaryota; Fungi; Ascomycota; Eurotiomycetes; Eurotiales; Aspergillaceae.